Homo sapiens (human) is the source of this 1124-nucleotide long non-coding RNA. RefSeq annotates it as PPT2-EGFL8 readthrough (NMD candidate). Lineage: Eukaryota; Metazoa; Chordata; Mammalia; Primates; Hominidae. The record is from RefSeq and is marked validated.
CACCUAGGGCGCAAUGGAAUAUUCCAUUGCCCCUCCUGUCCUGGGUCUGUGUUGCGGGGAACGCUCGCGCGGUUGCCAGAGAAAGCCCCGGACGUGACGGAUUUGCGCGACCCCAAGCAGCCCGCCCUUCCCCCUCCCAUCCGUCAUUCCCCUGCGCUCUCUUUCCUCACCCUUCCCCCCGCCACCGUGGGUUCCAGACUUGGGAUAAGUAAACAGCGGGUGGAGCGAGGCCUACGGACCCAGGCCAGGUGGGAGUCUGCACUCUUCAAGGGGCCUGGGCUGCUGCUCACGGGUAUUAAAGAACUCCGCGUUGUUCAUGGCUGAGGCGAUGCAUUAGGAAGAUCCUGGACCUAGAGAACAAGUCCCCCGAACGCUGAGUUGGAGGCGGGACUUCGGGUGCGCGUUGGCGGGAGCAUGCUGGGGCUCUGGGGGCAGCGGCUCCCCGCGGCGUGGGUCCUGCUUCUGUUGCCUUUCCUGCCGCUGCUGCUGCUUGCAGCCCCCGCGCCCCACCGCGAGUCCUACAAGCCGGUCAUCGUGGUGCAUGGGCUCUUCGACAGCUCGUACAGCUUCCGCCACCUGCUGGAAUACAUCAAUGAGACACACCCCGGGACUGUGGUGACAGUGCUCGAUCUCUUCGAUGGGAGAGAGAGCUUGCGACCCCUGUGGGAACAGGUGCAAGGGUUCCGAGAGGCUGUGGUCCCCAUCAUGGCAAAGGCCCCUCAAGGGGUGCAUCUCAUCUGCUACUCGCAGGGGGGCCUUGUGUGCCGGGCUCUGCUUUCUGUCAUGGAUGAUCACAACGUGGAUUCUUUCAUCUCCCUCUCCUCUCCACAGAUGGGACAGUAUGGAGACACGGACUACUUGAAGUGGCUGUUCCCCACCUCCAUGCGGUCUAACCUCUAUCGGAUCUGCUAUAGCCCCUGGGGCCAGGAAUUCUCCAUCUGCAACUACUGGCAUGAUCCCCACCACGAUGACUUGUACCUCAAUGCCAGCAGCUUCCUGGCCCUGAUCAAUGGGGAAAGAGACCAUCCCAAUGCCACAGUAUGGCGGAAGAACUUUCUGCGUGUGGGCCACCUGGUGCUGAUUGGGGGCCCUGAUGAUGGUGUUAUUACUCCCUGGCAGUCCAG